RNAcentral lists this ribosomal RNA (113 nucleotides) under Acanthosepion pharaonis. Lineage: Eukaryota; Metazoa; Mollusca; Cephalopoda; Sepiida; Sepiidae. The record is from RNAcentral.
UUACGACCAUAUCACGUUGAAACAUCGGUUCCCGUACGAUCAACGAAGUUAAGCAACGUCGUGUCGGUCAAUACCUAGAUAGGUGACCGCUUGGGAAUACCAGGUGCUGUAAG